RNAcentral lists this ribosomal RNA (1341 nucleotides) under Lethe dura. RNAcentral's name for it is "16S ribosomal RNA". The record is from RNAcentral. Lineage: Eukaryota; Metazoa; Arthropoda; Insecta; Lepidoptera; Nymphalidae.
GGGGGAAAAUUAAUAAAAUAAAAUUAAUAAAAUAAAUUUUUAAGUUAAAAAUAAAUAAUGGGGGUUAAAGUAUUUUUAAUAGAAAAAAUUUAAAAUUUUAUAGGGUAAUAAGUAUUGUAAGAGAAAUUUGAAAUAGUUAAAAAAUUAAUUAAUAGGAAAGAAAAUUUAAUUUAUUGUAUCUUGUGUAUCAGAGUUUAUUAAAUAAAUUUUUUAAAUAAAAAAAUCUCGAAUUUAAAAGAAUUAAUUAAUUAUAAAAGUUAAUGUAACAUAAUUAUUUUAAAUAAUUAAUUGGAAAUGAAAUGUUAAUCGUUUUUAAAUAUAUCUAGUUAUUUUAGAAAAAAAUUUAAUUUUAAAUUUAAAUAAUUUUAUAAUUUAAUAUUAAAUUAUAAAAAUUUAAAUUUAAUAUUUUAAGGGAUAAGCUUUAAAUUAAAAAUUUAUAAUAAUAAUUAAAAAUUAUUUAAGAUUUUUAAAAUUUAUAUUGUUUAAAAAUUAUAAUUUAUUAUAAAAAAUUUUAAUAAAAAUAAAAUUUAAUAGGGGGAAAUUUAAAUUUUUAUAAAAUAAUAAUUUUUAAUAAUAAAAAAUUAGGAAUAAUGAUAAAAUUAGUAUAAAUAAUAAAAAAAAAAUUAAAUUAUUAAUUAAAAUUAAUUAAAAGGAAUUCGGCAAUAAGGAAUAUUCACUUGUUUAUCAAAAACAUGUCUUUUUGAUUAUAAUUUAAAGUCUAAUCUGCCCACUGAUAAAUAUUAAAGGGCUGCAGUAUAUUGACUGUACAAAGGUAGCAUAAUCAUUAGUUUUUUAAUUGAAAACUUGUAUGAAAGAUUUGAUGAAAUAUAAACUGUCUCUUAAUUAUUAUUGUUAAAAAUUUAUUUUUUAGUUAAAAAGCUAAAAUAAUUUUAAAAGACGAGAAGACCCUAUAGAGUUUUAUAUUUUAUUUUAUAUUAAAAUUAUAUAAAAAUUAAAAUUAAUAUUAAAUAAAAUAUUGUAUUGGGGUGAUAGAAAAAUUAAAAUAACUUUUUUUAAAAAUUAACCAUUAAUAAAUGAAUAAAUGAUCCAUUUUUAAUGAUUAAAAGAAAAAAUUACCUUAGGGAUAACAGCGUAAUAUUUUUUUUUAGUUCAAAUAAGAAAAAAAGUUUGCGACCUCGAUGUUGGAUUAAGAUAAAAUUUAAAUGCAAAUGUUUAAAAUUUUGAUCUGUUCGAUCAUUAAAAUCUUACAUGAUCUGAGUUCAAACCGGUGUAAGCCAGGUUGGUUUCUAUCUUUAGAAAAAGAGAAUAUUUUAGUACGAGAGGAUCAAAUAUUUGAAAUAAUUUUAUAAAAGGAAUAUUAUUAAUUGAAAAUAUAAAUGG